GACGAACGCUGGCGGCGUGCUUAACACAUGCAAGUCGAACGGAAAGGCCCCCAUCUUGGUGGGGGUGCUCGAGUGGCGAACGGGUGAGUAACACGUGGGUGAUCUGCCCUGUACUUCGGGAUAAGCUUGGGAAACUGGGUCUAAUACCGGAUAGGACCAUGGUUUAGUGUCUCAUGGUGGAAAGAUUAUUGUUUUGGUGCAGGAUGAGCUCGCGGCCUAUCAGCUUGUUGGUGGGGUAAUGGCCUACCAAGGCGUCGACGGGUAGCCGGCCUGAGAGGGUGCACGGCGACAGUGUGACUGGGAUACUGCCCAGACUGCUACGGGAGGGAGCAGUGCGGAAGAUUGCACAAUGGGAGCAAGCCUGAUGCGGCGACGCCGCGUGGGGGAUGACGGCCUUCGGGUUGUAAGCUCCUUUCGUGAGGGCCGCAGCCGCACUUUUUUUGGGUGUGGUGACGGUACCUUUGUUAAGAAGCACCGGCUAACUACGUG
This 489-nucleotide ribosomal RNA is filed under the name uncultured bacterium. RNAcentral's name for it is "partial 16S ribosomal RNA". It matches the Rfam family "Bacterial small subunit ribosomal RNA", at positions 28 to 507 of the family's 1533-position model. The record is from RNAcentral.